CCUACGGGAGGCAGCAGUGAGGAAUAUUGGUCAAUGGACGAGAGUCUGAACCAGCCAAGUCGCGUGAAGGAAGACGGCACUAUGGGUUGUAAACUUCUUUUGUCUGGGGAUAAAGUCCGCUAUGUGUAGCGGUUUGUAGGUACCUGGUGAAUAAGGAUCGGCUAACUCCGUGCCAGCAGCCGCGGUAAUACGGAGGAUCCGAGCGUUAUCCGGAUUUAUUGGGUUUAAAGGGUGCGGAGGCGGUCGUUUAAGUCAGCUGUGAAAUUGUGGGGCUCAACCCUGGCCUGGCCGUUGAUACUGGCGUGCUCGAGUUGAGGAGAGGUAGGCGGAAUGCGUGGUGUAGCGGUGAAAUGCAUAGAUAUCACGAAGAACCCCGAUUGCGAAGGCAGCUUACCGGCCUCUCACUGACGCUGAGGCACGAAAGUGUGGGUAUCAAACAGGAUUAGAUACCCUAGUAGUC
Molecule: ribosomal RNA, 460 nt
Filed under: uncultured bacterium
Lineage: Bacteria
Description: partial 16S ribosomal RNA
Rfam family: Bacterial small subunit ribosomal RNA
Source: RNAcentral